This 440-nucleotide ribosomal RNA is filed under the name uncultured bacterium. RNAcentral's name for it is "bacterial SSU rRNA". It matches the Rfam family "Bacterial small subunit ribosomal RNA", at positions 338 to 794 of the family's 1533-position model. The record is from RNAcentral.
CCUACGGGGGGCAGCAAUGAGGAAUAUUGCGCAAUGGGCGAAAGCCUGACGCAGCGACGCCGCGUGGGUGAGGAAGUCCUUCGGGAUGUAAAGCCCUUUUGCUGGGGACGAGAUCCGACGGUACCCAGCGAAUAAGCCCCGGCUAACUACGUGCCAGCAGCCGCGGUAAUACGUAGGGGGCAAGCGUUGUCCGGAUUUACUGGGCGUAAAGCGCGCGUAGGCGGACGCUUAAGUGGGGCCUGAAAGCCCCCGGCUCAACCGGGGAGGGCGGUUCCAUACUGGGCGUCUUGAGGGCGAUAGAGGUCGGUGGAAUUCCUGGUGUAGCGGUGAAAUGCGUAGAGAUCAGGAGGAACACCCGUGGCGAAGGCGGCCGACUGGGUCGGCCCUGACGCUGAGGCGCGAAAGCGUGGGGAGCGAACGGGAUUAGAUACCCUGGUAGU